This 226-nucleotide ribosomal RNA is filed under the name uncultured prokaryote. RNAcentral describes it as "partial 16S ribosomal RNA". It matches the Rfam family "Bacterial small subunit ribosomal RNA", at positions 524 to 748 of the family's 1533-position model. The record is from RNAcentral.
UACGUAGGGUGCGAGCGUUAAUCGGAAUUACUGGGCGUAAAGGGAGCGUAGGCGGUUAGUCAAGUUCGGUGUGAAAGCUUUACCACUUAACGGAAAGAGGUCAUCGAAAACUGGCUGGCUAGAGUAGGGUAGAGGCAAGCGGAAUUCCUGGUGUAGCGGUGGAAUGUGUAGAUAUCAGGAAGAACAUCGGUGGCGAAGGCGGCUUGCUGGGCCCUUACUGACGCUG